CGAAGGAUGCAAGCGUUAUCCGGAUUCAUUGGGUUUAAAGGGUGCGUAGGCGGACCUGUAAGUCAGUGGUGAAAUCUCUUUGCUUAACAAAGAAACUGCCAUUGAUACUGCAAGUCUAGAGUAUAGAUGACGUUGGCGGAAUAUGACAUGUAGUGGUGAAAUACUUAGAUAUGUCAUAGAACACCGAUUGCGAAGGCAGCUAACGAAACUAUAACUGACGCUGAGGCACGAAAGUGCGGGGAUCAAACAGGAUUAGAUACCCUGGUAGUCCGCACCGUAAACGAUGAUUACUCGUUGUUGGCAAUAUGACCGUCAGCGACCAAGCGAAAGCGAUAAGUAAUCCACCUGGGGAGUACGCCGGCAACGGUG
RNAcentral lists this ribosomal RNA (369 nucleotides) under uncultured organism. RNAcentral describes it as "bacterial SSU rRNA". It matches the Rfam family "Bacterial small subunit ribosomal RNA", at positions 526 to 896 of the family's 1533-position model. The record is from RNAcentral.